This 283-nucleotide unclassified non-coding RNA is filed under the name uncultured fungus. RNAcentral's name for it is "partial contains small subunit ribosomal RNA, internal transcribed spacer 1, and 5.8S ribosomal RNA". The stretch from base 1 to 73 matches the Rfam family "Eukaryotic small subunit ribosomal RNA", at positions 1759 to 1831 of the family's 1831-position model. Lineage: Eukaryota; Fungi. The record is from RNAcentral.
ACAAACUUGGUCAUUUAGAGGAAGUAAAAGUCGUAACAAGGUUUCCGUAGGUGAACCUGCGGAAGGAUCAUUCAUAAUAAAGUGUUUUAUGGCACUUUUUAAAAAAAUCCAUAUCCACCUUGUGUGCAACGUUUUAUAUUUUAUAGACUUUAUUUUCUAUAAAUUAUAAUUACAUCAACUCAUUUAAAAACUAAUUUGUCUGAAAAAAUAUUAUGAAUACUUAAUUCAAAAUACAACUUUCAACAACGGAUCUCUUGGCUCUCGCAUCGAUGAAGAACGCAGC